This is a non-coding RNA of Lutzomyia longipalpis, 47 nucleotides long. The record is from Rfam. NCBI's taxonomy places the organism in Eukaryota, Metazoa, Arthropoda, Insecta, Diptera, Psychodidae.
AAAACGGUCCUUUUCAGGACCACAAUAUAAUCAAUAGAGAGUUUAAU